Molecule: ribosomal RNA, 494 nt
Filed under: uncultured bacterium
Lineage: Bacteria
Description: bacterial SSU rRNA
Rfam family: Bacterial small subunit ribosomal RNA
Source: RNAcentral
AGUUUGAUCCUGGCUCAGGAUGAACGCUAGCGAUAGGCCUACACAUGCAAGUCGAGGGGCAGCAUAUCAAAGCAGCUAUGCUGAGAUGAUGGCGACCGGCGGAUGGGUGAGUAACACGUAUGCAACCUACCUUUAACACGGGCAUAACUCGAAGAAAUUCGUGCUAAUUCCCGAUAAUACAGGGGCGCCGCAUGGCGAUAUUUGUUAAAGAUUAAUCGGUUAAAGAUGGGCAUGCGUUCCAUUAGCUAGUUGGUGAGGUAACUGCUCACCAAGGCAACGAUGGAUAGGGGGACUGAGAGGUUUAUCCCCCACACUGGUACUGAGACACGGACCAGACUCCUACGGGAGGCAGCAGUGAGGAAUAUUGGUCAAUGAGCGAAAGCUUGAACCAGCCAAGUCGCGUGAAGGAUGAAUGUUCUAAGAAUUGUAAACUUCUUUUAUAUAGGAAUAAAGUGAGCCACGUGUGGUAUUUUUGCAUGUACUAUAUGAAUAAG